GGAGAGAUGGCUGAGUCUGGCUGAAGGCGCUCGCCUGGAAAGCGGGUAGACGGGGACACCUGUCUCGAGGGUUCAAAUCCCUCUCUCUCCGCCA
RNAcentral lists this transfer RNA (94 nucleotides) under Clostridiales bacterium. RNAcentral's name for it is "tRNA-Ser". It matches the Rfam family "tRNA". From Rfam's summary of the family: Transfer RNA (tRNA) molecules are approximately 80 nucleotides in length. The record is from RNAcentral. RNAcentral also lists the same sequence under 1 other name. Lineage: Bacteria; Bacillati; Bacillota; Clostridia; Eubacteriales.